This is a non-coding RNA of Aggregatibacter actinomycetemcomitans D11S-1, 274 nucleotides long. NCBI's taxonomy places the organism in Bacteria, Pseudomonadati, Pseudomonadota, Gammaproteobacteria, Pasteurellales, Pasteurellaceae. The record is from Rfam.
GCUUACAUUUUUAAAUAAGUCUUGAUAAAUCAAUAUUUAUUGAUGUUACAAGGCUUUAUUUCUUCAGUUUCCAUCACGUUUAACCAGUAAGAGUGGCCUGUGAAUAACUCUGUGUUUUUAUUAAUCCGUAGCGUUUAUUAACGAAGUCACUAACUUCGCAUAAUUUAUAUUAUGUUAAAUAAAAUAAAUGGUAAGUCACUUCUGGGAAUUUGAGGUUUGCUCUCUUUAAAAAUGACUGGGUAACAAAAUUUAUUUCUUGAAUAUUUGAUUUUUU